AACUUACCUAUAAACCUCCCAGUUCUCAUAUCUCACAUAAACAUAAUGUACAUCGCCAGGAUUCAAAAUUCUAAAACUUUAAAAUUUACAAAAUCAUGAAAUAAUUCAACAAAUUAACUGAUCGAUGCAGAUCGAAACAAAAAAAAAAAGCAAAUGGGUUCGUCUAAAUGCCAUAAUCAGACUCCAAUAUCGCAUGCCCAGUGCCCACAUUCAAAUUCAUAGUCAAGUCCACAAUAGAUCUAGAAAUUUCCAAAACAUAUUCAAAGAAAAAUACAAACUUUUUCACCUUAAAUUGCAUAAAUUUCAAAUGGGUAACCAUAAAAUUAAAAACCCAUGAACUAACAAAUAAAUAAAACCCACAACCUUUGCUGCAGCAAUAUCGCCAUGAUCAUCGCAAGCUUUUACAAUUCCUCUUUUCGUCGGGUCUCAAAAGGGGUGAGGGAAAAUCAUGGUUUGGAGGAAGGAAUCCACGAGGAGGACAGAAGAAGACUGGAGAGAGGGUGAUUUAGAGGAAGUGAGGAAGGAGAGAGAGAGAGAGAGAGACUGAGGAAGCAAAGGCAGAGAGGAAGCAGCGGACGGAACAGAGAAAAGUGUUUGAGAUCUGAAAUGAAAUGGGAGUGAGACGGCUAGGGUCUGUAAAGUGAAGAAAUUUUAUAAAGCAUUAAACAUAAGCAACCUAUAAAUUAUAACAACAUAAAGCCUACAGUCAAGUUGGCUUGCAACGCCUAACCCCAACCUUCAAGGAAGGGGUUCAAACCCUAAUGCCAACACGUUUUUUUUAGUAUUUAUAUAUGAUUUUUUUUCGGUUUGGUUCAGUCCGAUUCGAUUUCUGGACCUCAAAAAUUGAAACUGAACCAGCCAGAUUCGGUUUGGUUUGGUUUAGCAGUUUCAGUUCGGUUUUUUUUUUCAGUUCGGGUUUUUUCGGCCUCGAUUCGGUUUGGUUUUUUAUUUUUUCAGUUUUCGGUUUUUUGAACCCACCCCUACAUAUAACAUUUAUAUGAGAUAGCUUAAACAAUAAUAUUUGCCCCUUAUAUAUUUCUAUCCCAAGAUUAAGAAAAUGUCCUAUUUUGGGGCAUUUCCCUACGUUAAAUGGGAUUGACUUGUAUUCAGAAACGUAGUGGAUGCUUUUCUCCCAUGUACUAAAUUGGUCUAUGUUUUCCUUUACUCAUUGUUCUUGCAAGGUGACAUGAGGUUUCACCUUCAACAUUUGAGAGAAGGAUUUUCUCACCUCUUGAUGUGCAUUAAGAAUCUUUUUCGCUUUCCAUACUCUUUUAUUCUCCUCACAUUAUUAAUGUGUUUCUUUAGUUUACUUAGAUUUUGUCUAAUUGGCUAAACUAAGCCAGAUUGGAAUAUUGAAAGGUCAUUUAAACUUCACAAUCUUAGCAAUUUUGUCCCACUAGGUGGACAUACGUAACGCUUUAGCUAGUACACGAAAGUGCAUACCAUGAUUCUUCGGAGUAGCACGAAUAUCCUAUGAAGGGAUCGAUCGCUUCGCCAAUGGGACAGCUAACUACGAAAUGUCAGGAGUUAGGGGGGGGCUAGCGACUCCGAGGGAAGGGGUGAAUAGACCACGAGCAGCACGCUUGCUUCGGAGGGGAUCCGCAAGGCUUUAGCCCAAGACUUAUUAGAAAGGUAAUGAACUAUGAGGCGGUGUUGACCCUGCAAUAGCUCCCUACCUAUACCGCUGCCGGUGCUUUAUCAGAUGCCGAGCCCACUAGUUCGAUGCAUCAAACCGCUACCGCCAAAAAAUGUUGACCCUAAAAAUCACAACGCCUAUAUGGCACGCAGGCUGAGUAACUACUGAGUUAAUUACAUCCUUAUGUGCAUGAUUGCUUUUAUGCAUCUACCAACUCGCUAUUGAGCUUGGUUGGGUGAGUAAAAUGAAUGUGGCUAUGAGGUGACGAACGUGCUGCUUACUACUACAUCGAGCUACUUCGGCCCAGAAAGAAACACUCUCGGCCAAGGGUUCUAUAACCUGAAGACAAGUUUAUGCAACUCAUACAAAGCUCCAGAUUUUCUGCACCAGGUUCAGCCACUUCAACUAUAUUUGUGAGAAUAUAGGUGCCCCAAAUCAGUGUCAAACUGUAGGUACAAAUAUACUCAAAGGCGAUGAGUGUCUUUAUGGUGAAUGUUGUUCAGUCAUCUAAAUGUCAAACACUGAAUGAUACUUGUGAGUAACCGAUCAUAGAACAUUCCAUUUUGCGGAGAUAACUGAUAAAGUGAUCUCGUUUUGCGAAAGAAUCAAAGACUAUUCGCCUACUAAGACUUGGGAUAGAUAAUCAGUUAAAAAAUGAGUAAGUAUUUUUUAACCAAACUGAGAAAAAUCCUACACCGACCUGAUUCUAUGACUCCAGUGAUGUUUAACUAAACUAAAUUUGUGUCGGUUUGUCAACGUAGUGAUGUUUAAUGAAACUAAAUUUGUGUCGACAUGUUAGUAAGGUUUUGCGCAGAGUGUUUGUUUGUGUGUUGAAUUGAAGGUCCUUUUUACAUUGAAAACUCCAUUGUAUUUAUAAGAACAAAUUUCUUGAUGGUUAAGUCUAUUGAGUGAUACAAUUCUCAUAAUAUUUUAAUUUCUCAUCGUAUUCUCAGAAUAUACUCAUAAUUAUUCUCAGCCGAACUCUAAAGUCAAGUCUCACCCCCUACCACUCUAAACUUAGACUUAUUAAGCUACUAAUUCACAUUUCAUACAUAAACUAAUCCUAAUCCUUAUGUGAUUAAUCCCAAAGGCUCUCCAACGAUCAAGUUAGUAAGAAGUAUUAAACUCAAGCAGUGGUCAACAAAAUUAAAGUAUAAAGAUUGUGUUAACAAAGAUGAACCAUAUACAGGUGUCUUUAUAUGGUAGAGAGAGAGUCCUUUUUAGGAUAGAAUCCUUGUUCUAAAAUUGGAGAAUCCUAUAGGAUAUCUAGAAGCAGAUAUUGCACCCUCUUAGGUGUUGUGAUUACUUGUGGCUUGCACUAAUUCCUACAAUCUAGGAACUCCAAGACUUUUGAGGAUCUGAUUGUGUUCAUGUAUGGAUCAGAUUGCGUGUCUUGCAAAACACGCAUGGUCAUUCAGUGGAAUAGCUCAGACUUCACCUAUUGGGCCGAAACAAGAUGAUGGUGGCACUGUUGCUCCAUUUGAUCCAGCUCUGCUUGGAGCUGGUGAGUCCAUGACAGGACUUCUAAGGUAUCAAAUUUGGAUUGGCCUUACUCCUUCCCAUUGCAUUUAAUCAAGGAAGAAAUACGAAUACAAGUCUCUCACACGUUCAUCCAUUUCUCAUGAAGCCUCUUCAACAUAGUGGUAUUUUCGAAUUCCAUAUCGACACCAAGAGAGACAGAAAGAGAAGUCGUACGGGAAAAAAGGGUUGGGAGCUAAGGUGGUUGUGGUGCUCACCGAAAAUGCAAUGGGAUGGUGAUGGUGGUGCUCCGGUUGAUGGUAGAGGGAGGAUGAGAGGGAUGAGAGUGGGAGAGAUGAGAGCUGGCCUAGAUUGGUUGGUGCAGUUCGUCAAUGUCGCAGCGGCAAGGUGGUGGCGGUGUUCUCGUGGAGUAAAGGUGAGUGAGAAAGAGAAGGGGAAUCGAGAGAAUUAGAAAGGGAAAAGAUAAGAGCUGAGGGCAAGUGAGUGGGAACAGAGAGAGAGAGAGAAAGAAAAUGAAAAUAUUUUUUUUUUAAGAAGAGAGUGAUAUCUGAGUAGGUAGAGAGAGAGUCACGUGAGAGAGUGAAUAAAAUGGAAAGGGAGAGAUUGAGAGAUGUGACAUGAGAGAGGGAAGAACUAAUUGGGUGAAAUGAUGAGUCUGGUGGGUGUUGUUGACAAGAGUGGGUUUUAGAACCCAAAAUAAUUAUUUGUUUAAAACCACUUGUAUGGCCAAGUAGUGAUGCACACUGCACGAGGUCCGUUAUUAGAAUUUGAAAUUAUCUUAGCUAAAUUACACUAUUUCGAAUAUAACCCCAAAAAAAUUACACUAUAUGUGGCCACGUGUUUGUAAAAUUGAGUACUAUUCGAAAAUAGUAAAAUAAGAUUGAAAAAGUGAAAGGAAAAAUUGAGGUCCAUGUGGAAGGCCUACGUGGCAUCUCAAGGGUAUUUUGAUAAUUUCACUACUAAUGGGAAUAAAAUACGAUAAACCUCAAGACGGGAUGUCACACCAUGGACCCAAGGUCAGUGGAAAAAAUGAACUCGUGGGCGGUGCGCGAGCAAAAGUAUAUAAAAAAAUUUAAAAAAAAAUCUUCUCUUAUUCAAUAAUCUGAAAACCCUUACAAGGUAGACAAAAUAAAUAAAAACCCUUGAAUCCCUCGUCUAACACAACCUCAGCUUGUAUAAAAUAUGAAAAUAAUAUCAAGGCUUUAGUCACGGAGUGUCAUAUCACAUCGUCCCUUCACGUGUUGGUUAUCCUUCAUAAUAUGUAGCUCACCAUGUGAUCCCUAAAUUGGCCAUUUUGCCCUAGUAUCCCCUUGUGCCAUACAUUUAUCUCUUGAAUAACUCAGCACUAAAGUUCUCAUACUUCAUGAACAUCUCCAACAAUUCCACAUAGAACAUAUAUAUACACAUCAAAAGCGAUUACACGAAAUCAAACAUGCUUGACUUAAAAAUGUAUCGAGAUUUAUAAAUACAAUAAAUCCCAUGAUAACUCAUGGUUUUCAUAGUAUCCGAAAACAAGAAUAUUUUGAACACAUUACAUAAACUAUUCACCUCGAUCGAUAGCUAGAACCUCGACAAGACAAGCCCAUUAACAAUUUCCACACAACCAACUCACUAACACUAUGUUUGAAGGAACAAAUUUAAGAUUGCUAAGGAAAUUUAAAAUGACGAGAAUUUAUUUUCUAGAAUUUGUGAAUUUUCUUGUUUGGUUAACCUAAAAGAACAAUAGAAUUGAACACGGAGUUUGUUAUUUUUAAACUCUCAAUUAUAGAAAUUGGAAAAUGACACCUAUUUACAUGAAAUUUAAACUUGAGAAUUGAAGGUCCCAAAUUCCAAGUUUUUUUCCAUACGGAAAUUCUAAAUUUCUAUGUUUAUGAAUCCAAACAAGGGAAUUGGUGCAUGUCAAUUUAUAAAUUCUGACUUUUAUCGAAAUUCCAAGUUUAUUUCCCUCAUCCAAACAUAGUGUAACCCUUGACUCUCUUUCUUUUCUCUCUCUCAAUAUAUAUUAUAUUUCAAUAUAUAUAUAUAUAUAUUAUGCAGGCAAGACUACUACUAUAUAUAUGCAUGCAAUGCAACGUCAUAACUAAAGAGAGGUAAAAAGUUGAUAUAAAUAAAAUUUGAGAAGUAGUGAUGCUAUUUAUACGACACAUAGGUCGGCCAUGUUGGUGAAUAAGCACUUGAGGUGUCGAAUGGCUAGAGCAAUGACAUGAGGAUAUGACAUUAGGAAGGGAGGUGGAGCUGGACAUAAUUUCUAAGCAGUUGGUGUUUAAAUGCAUGCAAAUAAGAUGAGGGAACCAUUGACACGCACUUAAAUGGAUUACUACAUACUAGUAAUGAGAUCAAAUUAAGUUCUAUAAGUGUCAUGCAAAAUGCUAGUUAUCAAGACAACACGUCAAGGAAUCAAAGUAUGAUUAAUACAUGUAAGUAAAAUAUCACACAACUUUUCAAUUAAACUUGAAAGUAAAUAAAUAUAAUUUAAAAUACAGGGUCUUACGAAUGUCUUUAUGGUGAAUAUGUGAUCGGAUCAUAUUUAUAUAUAUUUUUACUUCAAAUUCACUCGUCUUUUCUUAGUUAGUUCCUUAUAUUUUGAGCUAUUUACAUUAUUUUUGUGUUUAUAGGAUUUGUUUAUGCAAAGAAAAUAAAAAUGGCACAAAUGAGUUUUAAAUAAUAAAUUCAUCGAAAAUUGCUUUAGUCGUUCUCAUUUUGUCAUGGGUUAUUGGUAGAAUUAUGUCACGGAUUAUAGGUCAUGGAAGUUAGGCUAAAUUUAUUAGGUAUGCAUUAGAAAUUAUAUGGCAUUAGAAAUUAUAUGAUAUAUCUAAAAUUGAAGUGUUUGCAGUUGGUGAGUAAAGAAAAGAAACAUAAAGAAGCUGCCUUUGCAGCUGGAACAAAUGGAAAAAAAGGGAUCCAAGAGACAGCAAAACGUGAAAGAAUAAAAUAAGGGAAGCUGCCUUUGGGCAGUGGAAAAAUAAGAAGAAAAAGGAGAAUCCAAGGCAUGAGACACGGGGGAAUAAUAGUGGAACAAAAAGAAUGGCAGAAAAUAAAGAUAGACUUGCGGAGAGACAGGUGGGCUGUCUGUGACGAAAAAGAAAUAGCUGCGUGGGCAGCUGUGUGAUGACAGUCAAAAGCUAGGGUGAAAGCUGCUUUGCAGCUGGUCAAAGGGAAUAAAAAUAAGCUGGAAAAGUGGAGGGCAGCCUGGCUGCCAAAGUGAAAGACAUGCGCAUAAUAA
This 6338-nucleotide long non-coding RNA is filed under the name Malus domestica (apple). RNAcentral's name for it is "long non-coding RNA (MDOM_LNC000103)". Lineage: Eukaryota; Viridiplantae; Streptophyta; Magnoliopsida; Rosales; Rosaceae. The record is from RNAcentral.